Molecule: transfer RNA, 97 nt
Organism: Metarhizium acridum CQMa 102
Lineage: Eukaryota; Fungi; Ascomycota; Sordariomycetes; Hypocreales; Clavicipitaceae
Rfam family: tRNA
About the family: Transfer RNA (tRNA) molecules are approximately 80 nucleotides in length. Their secondary structure includes four short double-helical elements and three loops (D, anti-codon, and T loops). Further hydrogen bonds mediate the characteristic L-shaped molecular structure. tRNAs have two regions of fundamental functional importance: the anti-codon, which is responsible for specific mRNA codon recognition, and the 3' end, to which the tRNAs corresponding amino acid is attached (by aminoacyl-tRNA synthetases). tRNAs cope with the degeneracy of the genetic code in two manners: having more than one tRNA (with a specific anti-codon) for a particular amino acid; and 'wobble' base-pairing, i.e. permitting non-standard base-pairing at the 3rd anti-codon position.
Source: Rfam
GGCCGUGUAGCUCAAUGGCAGAGCGUCUGACUACGAUUAACUACAAGUUAAGUUUCCUGUAAUCAGAAGGUCGCAGGUUCGACCCCUGUCUCGGUCA